RNAcentral lists this long non-coding RNA (2661 nucleotides) under Prunus persica (peach). RNAcentral's name for it is "long non-coding RNA (PPER_LNC003377)". The record is from RNAcentral. Lineage: Eukaryota; Viridiplantae; Streptophyta; Magnoliopsida; Rosales; Rosaceae.
ACCACUCCACUUCAGAAUGAACUUCGUGCGAACCUGAAUUGUCCAAUUUCAUGGACCAAUCGAUAUCGAAGUAAGUCCAAAACUUGGGGAACAUCAUAAUACGGUGGGAGGAGUCAUUUGGCGUCUUUUGAGUGAAAUCCAAUGGCUAAAACUAUGCAAUACACCAACCAAUCCAUUUCAGAAUGAACUUCGUUCGAACCUGAAUUGUGCAAUUUCAUGGACCAAUCGAUAUCGGAUUGAGUCCAAAACUUGGGGAGCAUCAUACUAUGGUGGGUGGAGUCAUUUGGUGGCUUUUGAGUGAAAUCCAAUGGUUAAAACUAUGUAAUACACUAACCACUCCACUUCAGAAUGAACUUCAUACGAACCUGAAUUGUCCAAUUUCAUGGACCAAUCGAUAUCGGAUUAAGUCCAAAACUUGGUGAACAUCAUAAUACGGUGGGAAGAUUCAUUUGGUGCCUUUUGAGUGAAAUCCAAUUGGUAAAACUACGCAAUACACCAACCACUCCACUUCAGAACGAACUUCGUACGAACGUGAACUGUCCAGUUUCAUGGACCAAUCGAUAUCGGAUUGAGUUCAAAACUUCAGAAACAUCAUACUACGGUGGGAGGAGUCAUUUGGUGGGUUUUGAGUGAAAUCCAAUCUCUACAACUAUGCAAUACACUAACCACUCCAUUUCAUAACGAACUUCGUACGAACCUGAAUUGUCCAAUUUCAUGGACCAAUCGAUAUCGGAUUGAGUCCAAAACUUGGGGAUCAUGAUAAUACGGUGGGAUGAGUCAUUCGGUACGUUUUGAUUGAAAUCCAAUGUCUACAACUAUGCAAUACACCAACCACUCCCAUUUCAUAACGAACUUCGUACGAACCUGAAUUGUCCAAUUUCAUGGACCAAUCGAUAUCGGAUUGAGUCCAAAACCUAGGGAACAUCAUAAUAUAAUGGGAGGAGUCAUUUGGUGCCUUUUGAGUGAAAUCCAAUGGCUAAAACUAUGCAAUGCACCAACCACUCCAUUUCAGAACGAACUUCGUUCGAACCUGAAUUGUCCAAUUUCAUGGACUAAUCGAUAUCAGAUUGAGUCCAAAACGUGGGGAGCAUGAUACUAUGGUGGGUGGAGUCAGUUGGUGGCUUUUGAGUGAAAUCCAAUGGCUAAAACUAUGUAAUACACUAACCACUCCACUUCAGAAUGAACUUCGUGCGAACCUGAGUUGUCCAAAUUCAUGAACCAAUCGAUAUCGAAGUAAGUCCAAAACUUGGGGAACAUUAUAAUACGGUGGGAGGAGUCAUUUGGCGUCUUUUGAGUGAAAUCCAAUUGCUAAAACUAUACAAUACACCAACCAAUCCAUUUCAGAACGAACUUCGUUCGAACAUGAAUUGUGCAAUUUCAUGGACCAAUCGAUAUCGGAUUGAGUCCAAAACUUGGGGAGCAUCAUACUAUGGUGGGUGGAGUCAUUUGGUGGCUUUUGAGUGAAAUCCAAUGGCUAAAACUAUGUAAUACACUAACCACUCCACUUGAGAAUGAACUUCAUACGAACCUGAAUUGUCCAAUUUCAUGGACCAAUCGAUAUCGGAUUAAGUCCAAAACUUGGUGAACAUCAUAAUACGGUGGGAGGAGUCAUUUGGUGUCUUUUGAGUGAAAUCUAACGGCUACAACUACGCAAUACACCAACCACUCCAUUUCAGAACGAACUUCGUACGAACAUGAACUAUCCAAUUUCAUGGACCAAUCGAUAUCGGAUUGAGUUCAAAACUUGGGAAACAUCAUACUACGGUGGGAGGAGUCAUUUGGUGGGUUUUGAGUGAAAUCCAAUCUCUACAACUAUGCAAUACACUAACCACUCCAUUUCAUAACGAACUUCGUACGAACCUGAAUUGUCCAAUUUCAUGGACCAAUCGAUAUCGGAUUGAGUCCAAAACUUGGGGAUCAUCAAAAUACUGUGGGAUGAGUCAUUCGGUACGUUUUGAUUGAAAUCCAAUGUCUACAACUAUCCAAUACACCAACCACUCUAUUUCAUAACGAACUUCGUACGAACCUGAAUUGUCCAAUUUCAUGGACCAAUCGAUAUCGGAUUGAGUCCCAAAACCUAGGGAACAUCAUAAUAUAAUGGGAGGAGUCAUUUGGUGCCUUUUGAGUGAAAUCCAAUGGCUAAAACUAUGCAAUGCACCAACCACUCCAUUUCAGAACGAACUUCGUUCGAACCUGAAUUGUCCAAUUUCAUGGACUAAUCGAUAUCAGAUUGAGUCCAAAACGUGGGGAGCAUGAUACUAUGGUGGGUGGAGUCAGUUGGUGGCUUUUGAGUGAAAUCCAAUGGCUAAAACUAUGUAAUACACUAACCACUCCACUUCAGAAUGAACUUCGUGCGAACCUGAGUUGUCCAAAUUCAUGAACCAAUCGAUAUCGAAGUAAGUCCAAAACUUGGGGAACAUUAUAAUACGGUGGGAGGAGUCAUUUGGCGUCUUUUGAGUGAAAUCCAAUGGCUAAAACUAUGCAAUACACCAACCAAUCCAUUUCAGAAUGAACUUCGUUCGAACCUGAAUUGUGCAAUUUCAUGGACCAAUCGAUAUCGGAUUGAGUCCAAAACUUGGGGAGCAUCAUACUAUGGUGGGUGGAGUCAUUUGGUGGCUUUUGAGUGAAAUCCAAUGGUUAAAACUAUGUAAUACACUAACC